RNAcentral lists this transfer RNA (71 nucleotides) under Loxodonta africana (African savanna elephant). It matches the Rfam family "tRNA". From Rfam's summary of the family: Transfer RNA (tRNA) molecules are approximately 80 nucleotides in length. Their secondary structure includes four short double-helical elements and three loops (D, anti-codon, and T loops). Further hydrogen bonds mediate the characteristic L-shaped molecular structure. tRNAs have two regions of fundamental functional importance: the anti-codon, which is responsible for specific mRNA codon recognition, and the 3' end, to which the tRNAs corresponding amino acid is attached (by aminoacyl-tRNA synthetases). tRNAs cope with the degeneracy of the genetic code in two manners: having more than one tRNA (with a specific anti-codon) for a particular amino acid; and 'wobble' base-pairing, i.e. permitting non-standard base-pairing at the 3rd anti-codon position. Lineage: Eukaryota; Metazoa; Chordata; Mammalia; Proboscidea; Elephantidae. The record is from Rfam by way of RNAcentral.
GCCGUGGUGGUUCAGUGGUAGAAUUUUUGCCUCCCGUACAGGAUACCCAGGUUCAGUUCCUAGCCAAGGUA